Molecule: ribosomal RNA, 378 nt
Filed under: Frankia sp.
Lineage: Bacteria; Bacillati; Actinomycetota; Actinomycetes; Frankiales; Frankiaceae
Description: bacterial SSU rRNA
Rfam family: Bacterial small subunit ribosomal RNA
Source: RNAcentral
GACGAACGCUGGCGGCGUGCUUAACACAUGCAAGUCGAGCGGGGAGCUUCGGCUCCUAGCGGCGAACGGGUGAGUAACACGUGGGCAACCUGCCCCGAGCUCUGGAAUAACCUCGGGAAACCGGGGCUAAUGCCGGAUAUGACAUCACUGGGCAUCUGGUGGUGUGGAAAGAUUUAUCGGCUCGGGAUGGGCCCGCGGCCUAUCAGCUUGUUGGUGGGGUGAUGGCCUACCAAGGCGACGACGGGUAGCCGGCCUGAGAGGGCGACCGGCCACACUGGGACUGAGACACGGCCCAGACUCCUACGGGAGGCAGCAGUGGGGAAUAUUGCGCAAUGGGCGGAAGCCUGACGCAGCGACGCCGCGUGGGGGAUGACGGCC